This is a non-coding RNA of Peromyscus maniculatus bairdii (prairie deer mouse), 1453 nucleotides long. The record is from RefSeq and is a predicted model, not a curated record. NCBI's taxonomy places the organism in Eukaryota, Metazoa, Chordata, Mammalia, Rodentia, Cricetidae.
AGACGACACAAAGCCUAUCAUCCAAACUGCAUCAAAUGCCUAGUGUGAGUGGAAGGUUACCAAGAUUGUGAGCUCCGAGGACAGCAAAGAAGACCACAGGAAACAAGACUGUCCUUCUCCAAAGACACAAAAAGAACUCAGGUGUCUGGUGCCCUAUCCAGCCCAGCCGAGGACCUUCUCUGUCACCUGCAGGUGUGUUUUGAGACUUACAAAGCCACCAAUCUUAGGCAACAUGCUGCCCAGUGCCUGGGAAGGCAGGGCUACAGGCUAGUCCUCCACACUCCUGAUUCCCUAGGACCCUUGCUGGGAUGCUCAGGCAUUCACAGGCCCUGCUUUCCCUGCCCUGGAGGACGGCUAUGCUGGGAGCACCAAGAAGCACAAACUGCUGGGAAGAGCCUGGGUAGUAUGUCCUGGCUGGUCAGCCAUGGAUGCAUAUCCUUGCAAGUUUUCAAGAUGCAGAUCAAGCCACUGCUGGGCUUUUGGGAAAUGACUAGCAGACAGAGGAAAUCUGAUCGCCGCCAGCACAGGGAAGGCCAGCCAGCUGGGGACCUGGGUCUCCUUCAGAAGCUUCUGCAUCUUGAACUCAGGAAAUCCUCUGUUUUUCUCAAUGAAACUCCAUGGCUUCUCAGCGACUGAAGAGGGAGGCAGGGAUAAAACCUCUCAUUCAGUAGCACACAGGUCAGUUAAGAGGCAUUUAGUUCAAAGUAUACAAAAUGGCUGCAGCUGCUCCUCAGUCACAUUCAGAAAUUUCAUGGAGAGGAAGAAAGCGGAAGAUGCUGGUUUCUGUACCCUCUUCGAGAACCCAGCAGAUUCUCAUCUAGGUCUCCUUGCUGAACAGUCACUGGAAGACCUGCUUGGCUGGGUUCUGGAGCGUCUCCUUCAACUGCCCAGGUGAUCUUCUUAUAUGAAGCAUGAUGGGUAAUCUUCAUGGGCAACUUGGGAUUUAGAAUCACCUGGGAGACACACCUCUGCCUGUGUCAGCUGAAGUAUUUCAGGUGUGUGGACCUGGAAGAAGUCUGCUUUCUACAAAGGCAUUUUCCAAUUUCCUACUCUUUGGGGAGAGAAACUCCUGGAAAUGUUGUGAGCAGUUAUUCCAGCGUUUGUUUUCCCCACUUAAAACCUACCAUCUGCAUCUCAUCCCAUGAAGCACAUAGCGAGUGUAUGGAUGUAGUCAGGAAUUCAUUUUAUAAUGACAUUUGCAGGCACAACAUGCUCGGCCCUCAGCCUGGCCCUUGGAGCUACAGAGACCAGAAGGGCACAGUCUCAUCCUACCAAGAGUGCAGAGUAUUAAAGACACGGGUAUGUCCUCGAAGAGUCCUGUGAUAAGAAGCCAUGACAAAUGACAAAUGUGGCACUAAAAUCCUCAGAAGGGACAAGGAAAUGGGAGGAAGAGACGAACCCUGUGCGGGGAGGAAGUUAUUACUUACUUGUUGAGACCUACUUUGGGAAAGAA